Long non-coding RNA from Dreissena polymorpha, 956 nucleotides. RefSeq lists it as uncharacterized. The record is from RefSeq and is a predicted model, not a curated record. Lineage: Eukaryota; Metazoa; Mollusca; Bivalvia; Myida; Dreissenidae. The transcript is spliced from 3 exons.
AAAUGACUGCCUUAUCAGUAUUUCUCAAAUUAUGCAAUUUUUGGCUUAGACACAGCAUGGUAUCAGAUAAGAGAAUAGCCAGUCCCUAUCAGUCCUCCAUCUAAGCCUAACUAAGGGGUGUUGAUAUACUUUUGAUUUGUUCAGGCACCAUCUAUUUGAGAACCACAGAUAGGAAGUUAUUUUUUGAAAACAAGCAGCAUCAGCAACUGACUUUAAGCUAGAAUUAAGACUUAUUAUUCUAGUGUAAAAUGUCUUGAAAUACUUUCAGCAUGAAGUAUUGUGUGAUGAAAAAAAUGUGUAUUUACUACAAUGUGUAAAUCAACAAUAAAGGAGAUUAAAAGUGGGUGGUUAAAGACAUAUAAAGUGAUAUGGUCUAGUUCAACAACUGCCUGUAUUUUUGGAAUACUGAAGAACAGUCUGUUGUAACAGGUUAAACCCCAUGGAAAGAAUGUGCAUCAUCGCAUCGCCUGCCAAAAAAGGGAGCAAAAGAGAGACUACCUGAUGUAUGGACUUGAAUACCAGGUUUUACCCUGCACAAGCUGACCGACAUGAGGAGAACAGGAGUGGGAAAACCGCGCCCUCUCCUUGACCAAGAAAAGCUGGAUUUGUUUAGAGGACCUGAUCAAAUGAGAUCAUGCACGAGACGCAUCGCGCAAAGGCCAUGACAGUAUAAUAGUUGCAAAGAAGUUUGACCGGCUGGUGGCAGACUUGGAGAGAAAGAUGAGAGCUGCACUCCGCUGCCUCAAAGAAAUGCUGAAAGGCCUUGAUUGAUAUGCAUCUUUCUUAUGUAUAUAGCUGUUCGUGUGUAUAUACUGUACAUGUUAUUAUAGUAUGCUAUUAUUUUUUGUUUAUUUAUAAUCAAAUUAUGUUUAUAUUUAUUUCAUCAAAUUGCCAUUGAUAUUUAAUUACUCAUGUAUGUUAAAAAAUGUUGGUGUACAUUAAAGUAUAAAAUUGAA